Molecule: ribosomal RNA, 253 nt
Filed under: Salmonella enterica subsp. enterica serovar Anatum
Lineage: Bacteria; Pseudomonadati; Pseudomonadota; Gammaproteobacteria; Enterobacterales; Enterobacteriaceae
Description: partial 23S ribosomal RNA
Rfam family: Bacterial large subunit ribosomal RNA
Source: RNAcentral
GUGGGCGCUGGAGAACUGAGGGGGGCUGCUCCUAGUACGAGAGGACCGGAGUGGACGCAUCACUGGUGUUCGGGUUGUCAUGCCAAUGGCACUGCCCGGUAGCUAAAUGCGGAAGAGAUAAGUGCUGGGGCAUUGCUCACCAGAUUGCGUAGCUCACGACUGAUGGUUUUGCUGUGUUUCCGCCACUGCUCAUCAUUUUUGCGCACAUUGUCGGCGGUAAAGUUCUCAGCAACCUUCGUCGCCCACGGCGUUA